Molecule: transfer RNA, 86 nt
Filed under: Caudoviricetes sp.
Lineage: Duplodnaviria; Heunggongvirae; Uroviricota; Caudoviricetes
Description: tRNA-Leu
Rfam family: tRNA
About the family: Transfer RNA (tRNA) molecules are approximately 80 nucleotides in length. Their secondary structure includes four short double-helical elements and three loops (D, anti-codon, and T loops).
Source: RNAcentral
GGGCGUGUGGCGAAACUGGCAGACGCAUCGGGUUUAAGCCCCGACGGUUAGAUACCAUGAGAGUUCGAACCUCUCCGCGCCUACCA